UACGAAAGGGGGGGGCUAGCGUUUGUUUCGGGAAUUACUGGGGCGUUAAAGCGCGCGCAGGGCGGGUUUUCCCAAGUCAGUGGGUGAAAGCCCCGGGAGCUCAACUCCGGGAACUGCCAUUGAAAACUGUUUAAACUUGAGGGACGAGAGAGGUGAGUGGAAUUCCCCAGUGUAGAGGUGAAAUGCGCAGAUAUCAGGAGGAACACCAA
RNAcentral lists this ribosomal RNA (209 nucleotides) under uncultured bacterium. RNAcentral describes it as "partial 16S ribosomal RNA". It matches the Rfam family "Bacterial small subunit ribosomal RNA", at positions 521 to 712 of the family's 1533-position model. The record is from RNAcentral.